This 253-nucleotide ribosomal RNA is filed under the name uncultured bacterium. RNAcentral describes it as "partial 16S ribosomal RNA". It matches the Rfam family "Bacterial small subunit ribosomal RNA", at positions 524 to 776 of the family's 1533-position model. The record is from RNAcentral.
UACGUAGGGUGCGAGCGUUGUCCGGAAUUAUUGGGCGUAAAGGGCUCGUAGGCGGUCUGUCACGUCGGGAGUGAAAACACGGGGCUUAACCCCGUGCCUGCUUCCGAUACGGGCAGACUAGAGGUAUGCAGGGGAGAACGGAAUUCCUGGUGUAGCGGUGAAAUGCGCAGAUAUCAGGAGGAACAUCGGUGGCGAAGGCGGUCUCUGGGCAUUACCUGACGCUGAGGAGCGAAAGUGUGGGGAGGCGAACAGG